This 2461-nucleotide long non-coding RNA is filed under the name Apis mellifera (honey bee). Its description in RNAcentral is "uncharacterized LOC107965062". The record is from RNAcentral. Lineage: Eukaryota; Metazoa; Arthropoda; Insecta; Hymenoptera; Apidae.
CUCCGCUUGAAGGUGGCAGCACGGUCUUCGUUUCCUGUUUCGUUCUGACGUGCCGGACCCCGCGAUCUAAUUAAGUGCGACGAAGUAAACGUCAAUGUGCUGUGAAAAUACUUUAAACUGUGUCAUAUUGAAGACAAACUCCAAGUUUAACUCGCUAAAGUGGAAAACUAGUGGUUCCAAGUGGCUGACACGACAUUUAAGCCGAAGUUGAAAGCGUCGUCAACGAGCCACGACGAAACCGAGAGUUAUACACGUCGACAUUAACGGUACGAAAAGUAUAAACAAUUCCUACUACGCGUCUCCUUGAAUAAUCUCCGAAUAUAUCAGUCUUAAUUCGACUUCGAACACGAUAACAUCGGGCGCCGAACCAAAACAAGAGAAACUGCGACGUUCUCGAGACGGAGACCAACCACGGCGAUCCUGUUGGCCGCCGUAGGAGAUGAAAAUGCGAUCUGUCGGUGGAGGGGAGGGUGUAUGGCCGGCGCAUCGACGCGUAUCGACGGGUCGGAAAAACCGCGGCAAUCUAUCCGGGGAUUGCUCGUGGAAUCGGCUCGAGAAGGCGGCCCUCUCUGAUUUCCUGGUGUUCUUGCGCGGCGAUGUGCCGCUUUGGCCGCUGCCAAGGAACGAAAGAUAAACAGGCAUAGCAGAAGUAAGUUUAGGUAAUUGUAAAAGAAUAAAGAAAAGAAAAGAAUCGUCGGUGGAUCGAACGAUGUGGAUCAUUAUCUCGGGGAAAUGUGUUAAAUUGCGUAGUUGCGGUUUGGAAUAUGGGGCGUGAUCCUAUGAUCGUAACAAGUAACGAGAUGGCGAAAUUUAAUUGGGAGGGAAGGAGAAGGAAUUUUGUAUUUAAAAAGAACGAUAGUAAUUUUUCUCACCGUUUUCAUCCAUGCUUGUUAAAAAUUAUCGACACGAGUCUUGAUCCAAUUUCCAAAAUUAUCAUCAUCCUUCGAUUCAAAAAGAGAGAGAGAGAGAGAGAGAGAGAGAGAGAGAAAUUAGAAUAUAUUAAAUCCGUAUAAUUUCAACUACCUUAAUGGACCGAGAACAAAGACUGAAGAAAGGACUCCUCCUCUCUUCUCCUCGACCAAAUGACCAUCUCCAUAAAAAAAUACUAUUACGGUUUCGAAAUCGAACCUGAGGAAGAAAAAGGGAGGAAAAAGAAAUGAGAUUGGAAAAGGGAAAUAAUCGAGGGUCAGGCGGCCGUUAAAAAUGGCCCGCGCGCAAAGUGCAGAGAGCGUGCAAUGGGUAAACGGGUGGAGGAUCGUGCAAAUAGGAGGGAGGGGAGGAGGUAAAAGGGGAGAGAGAGUCGUUAGGUGCCCGGGGCCAGGGCCGCCAUAUUUUAUUACUUAAACGGCAUGCCGGGUAGGUUGUUUGUUGGUUAAACAAGGAAUUAAUGCCGCGGUAAUCUGUCAUUAUGGGAUACUCGUGCAGGAGGAGGACCAACCCUCGUAGUUGCAUGCCGUUCUCUCCUCCUCCUUCUCCUCCUCUUCUCCCUCCAAUUGAUCCAGCUCUCUCGUUAACCCUCUCUGUUUUGCUCUGCUUCGCAUAAUUUCCAAUUGGUUCCCUCGAAAAGGAAAGAGAGAGAGGAGAGAAGAAAUGAAGGAGAGGAGAGACGAAGAAGGAGAGACGAAGAAUCGCACACGUUAUAUACUAUACACCAUUCCGCGAUCCAUAGCCGAAAAUGCCAAUUGAAUGAAUAAUAGACGAAGAAUCAAUGUUCCGGAUCCUGACCCCGAGAGUUUUCGUCUCUCGUGUAGCACACAGUCGCGCGGCCAACCCUCGGCGUAUCGCUUCCGCUAACUUUCCGAUCGAUCUCACUGCGGACGCUAACGGAAAUUGCUAUUGCUUUUUACCCCGUUCUCUAUGAAUUCGCAAUUUCUCUCUUCUUUUUUCCUCUCGUGGAAUGAAAACGCGUGGCUGUUGGAAACUUUCCCUAUAUUCGAUCACAAUUAUUUACACCAUCUGAUUAAAUUUUAUUGUAACUUAAUUAUAAUUGUGUCAUUGAAAAAAGUAUAGAGAAGUGUAUCGAACUUUCUCUUUCUACAUUCGAUCACAAUUAUUUAUACCAUCUGAUUAAAUUUUAUUGUAACUUAAUUAUAAUUGUGUCAUUGAAAAAAGUAUAGAGAAGUGUAUCGAACUUUCUCUUUCUACAUUCGAUCACAAUUAUUUAUACCAUCUGAUUAAAUUUUAUUGUAACUUAAUUAUAAUUGUGUCAUUGAAAAAAGUAUAGAGAAGUGUAUCGAACUUUCUCUCCCUACAUUCAAUCACAAUUAUUUAUACCAUCUGAUUAAAUUUUAUUGUAACUUAAUUAUAAUUGUGUCAUUGAAAAAAGUAUAGAGAAGUCUAUCGAACUUCCUCUCGCUACAUUCGAUCACAAUUAUUUAUAUCUGAUUAAACGGACAAUUUUGUAACUUAAUUAUAAUUAUGUCAUUGAAAAAAGUAUGGACAAGUGUAUUGAGCUUGAAGA